GGUCAGAUGGCCGAGUGGUUAUGGCGCUAGCUUCAGGUGCUAGUGGAACAAUCCUCGUGGGUUCGAGUCCCACUCUGAUCA
This 81-nucleotide transfer RNA is filed under the name Cladosporium sphaerospermum UM 843. Its description in RNAcentral is "tRNA-Leu (CAG) (tRNA-Leu-CAG-2-1)". It matches the Rfam family "tRNA". From Rfam's summary of the family: Transfer RNA (tRNA) molecules are approximately 80 nucleotides in length. Their secondary structure includes four short double-helical elements and three loops (D, anti-codon, and T loops). Further hydrogen bonds mediate the characteristic L-shaped molecular structure. tRNAs have two regions of fundamental functional importance: the anti-codon, which is responsible for specific mRNA codon recognition, and the 3' end, to which the tRNAs corresponding amino acid is attached (by aminoacyl-tRNA synthetases). tRNAs cope with the degeneracy of the genetic code in two manners: having more than one tRNA (with a specific anti-codon) for a particular amino acid; and 'wobble' base-pairing, i.e. permitting non-standard base-pairing at the 3rd anti-codon position. The record is from RNAcentral. Lineage: Eukaryota; Fungi; Ascomycota; Dothideomycetes; Cladosporiales; Cladosporiaceae.